RNAcentral lists this ribosomal RNA (507 nucleotides) under uncultured bacterium. Its description in RNAcentral is "partial 16S ribosomal RNA". The record is from RNAcentral.
GGAGUUAGCCGGUGCUUCUUCUGUGAGUGAUGUCCUUCCUGCCGGUUAUUGACCCGCAGGCCUUCUUCCUCACUGAAAGUGCUUUACAACCCGAAGGCCUUCUUCACACACGCGGCAUGGCUGGAUCAGGGUUGCCCCCAUUGUCCAAUAUUCCCCACUGCUGCCUCCCGUAGGAGUCUGGGCCGUGUCUCAGUCCCAGUGUGGCUGAUCAUCCUCUCAGACCAGCUACGGAUCGUCGCCUUGGUGAGCCGUUACCUCACCAACCAGCUAAUCCGACAUAGGCUCAUCCGAUAGCGCGAGGCCCGAAGGUCCCCCGCUUUCCCCCGUAGGGCGUAUGCGGUAUUAGCCUGGGUUUCCCCAGGUUAUCCCCCACUACCGGGCAGAUUCCUAUGCAUUACUCACCCGUCCGCCGCUCGCCACCAGGGAGCAAGCUCCCCGUGCUGCCGCUCGACUUGCAUGUGUAGCGUCGCCGCCACGCGUCAUCUGAGCACUAACUACAACUACUGA